This 253-nucleotide ribosomal RNA is filed under the name uncultured bacterium. Its description in RNAcentral is "partial 16S ribosomal RNA". It matches the Rfam family "Bacterial small subunit ribosomal RNA", at positions 524 to 776 of the family's 1533-position model. The record is from RNAcentral.
GACGGGGGAUGCAAGUGUUAUCCGGAAUCACUGGGCGUAAAGCGUCUGCAGGUGGUUUCCUAAGUCCACUGUUAAACCUUGAGGCUCAACCUCAAAUCUGCAUUGGAAACUAGGAGACUUGAGUAUAGUAGGGGUAGAGGGAAUUUCCAGUGGAGCGGUGAAAUGCGUAGAUAUUGGAAAGAACACUGAUGGCGAAGGCACUCUACUGGGCUAUUACUGACACUCAGAGACGAAAGCUAGGGGAGCAAAUGGG